This 545-nucleotide ribosomal RNA is filed under the name uncultured bacterium. RNAcentral describes it as "partial 16S ribosomal RNA". It matches the Rfam family "Bacterial small subunit ribosomal RNA", at positions 355 to 889 of the family's 1533-position model. The record is from RNAcentral.
UGGGGAAUUUUGGACAAUGGGCGCAAGCCUGAUCCAGCCAUGCCGCGUGCGGGAAGAAGGCCUUCGGGUUGUAAACCGCUUUUGUCAGGGAAGAAAUCUUCUGAGUUAAUACCUCGGGAGGAUGACGGUACCUGAAGAAUAAGCACCGGCUAACUACGUGCCAGCAGCCGCGGUAAUACGUAGGGUGCAAGCGUUAAUCGGAAUUACUGGGCGUAAAGCGUGCGCAGGCGGUUUUGUAAGACAGAGGUGAAAUCCCCGGGCUCAACCUGGGAACUGCCUUUGUGACUGCAAGGCUUGAGUGCGGCAGAGGGGGAUGGAAUUCCGCGUGUAGCAGUGAAAUGCGUAGAUAUGCGGAGGAAACACCGAUGGCGAAGGCAAUCCCCUGGGCCUGCACUGACGCUCAUGCACGAAAGCGUGGGGAGCAAAACAGGAUUAGAUAGCCCUGGUAGUCCACGCCCUAAAACGAUGUCAACUGGUUGUUGGGAAGGUUCCUUCUCAGUAACGUAGCUAACGCGUGAAGUUGACCGCCUGGGGAGUACGGCCGC